GUUUAGUGUAAAGGUCAUCUGUGUUCUUGUGGUAAAGGUUUUUGUGGUAGUUGUUCUUGUGGUGUGUCCCUUUCUAGGUGAUAUUUGGCAGUAAAGCCUCUUCGUGUAUGUUCUGAAUGAUGGGAAACCCCUAAAUGGAGCUGCAUGCUGUGAACAUGCAUGAUUAUACUCGCUGAAAAUCUCUUACAUUCUGUGAAAUGCAAAGAUACACAUCAUAGAUCAUACCUGAAGGCACUAAACUUUGCUUCAGCUGCUUAAGCUUGUUUCUUUGUUGUUAUAACUAUCACUAAUAUAGUGGGGAUGAACCUCUGUGCUCUACUUUUGGUAGUCGCAUUUCUCUCUUUCCCAUUGUAUCUGUGUCUAGAUUAAUCUUCUGAUUUAAACUACAAUCACAAACACACACAUAAAACCUCUAAGUCAUUUGAUACCUCUCAAAUAUCUUGUGUGUGUGUGUGUGAUUAUUGGGUGGCUUGAUUGUGUCUUGCAGAAUCAGUCAGCCCAGCAGAAGCAGAAACAGCAGAGCUGGCUGCUGCCUCCAUGAUCGAGGCUGUUCCUAUGGAGUCUGUAUCCGUGGAAGAUGUGCCAGUUGAAGCUGUACCAGAGAAGCUCACUGAGGUUCCUACAACAGAUCAUUUGAAAAGUGAACCUGUAACGGAGGUGGCACCCGUUUCUCCAGUGACAGAAGCAGCACCAGUUUCUCCAGUUGUAGAAGAGCCACCUGUUGCCGCAGUGGUAGAAGAGGCUCCAGUAGCAGAGGAGACACCAGUUGUUUCACCAGCAGCAGAAGUAUUUGUUGCUCCAGUGACAGAAGCAGCACCAGUUUCCCCAGUUGUAGAAGAGCCACCUGUUGCCAUUGUGGUAGAAGAGGCUCCAGUAGCAGAGGAGACACCAGUUGAUUCACCAGUAUCUGCAGAAGAAGCGUCUGAUGUCCUGGUGAUAGAACAGGAAAUGUUGGUCAUCCCAGUGCCAGAAGAGGCAGCAGUUUCCUUGGUAACUGAAGAAGCUCCUGUUGCUGUGGCUGAAGAUGCACCGUUUGUAGCAACUGAAGAACUUGAGGAAACACCUGCAGCCAAAGUAACAGAAGAGGUUAUUCCAGUGGUUGAGGAAGGUGUGGAAGUGAAGGCAGCAGAGGUGAUUGCAGAAAGUGCAGUUGUGGAGGUUUCAGUAAGUAUAGUUGAUGAAGAAGCAGGUCCAUUUGUGGAAGUUACAGAAAGUGUUGUUGAACCAGAUGUUGCGAGCACAGUGGUAGCUGAGGAAGUUGCUCCAGCUGAAACAUCAAGUGUGCCUGAUUCUUUGGAAGAGCCCAAACGAGACUACAUAGUGGUUAUCUUGGAGGGAGCUCCCAAAACAGAAAAGAAGCCCAUGGUGCUCGGUGUGUCCCCCAUGACUGGCGAGAUCAUCUCUGCCCCUGAUGAUGGUGAAGAGCGAUCGGGAAAGGUAACAGGGCAAGCGCCGUAUGCUUAAAGUGCAGAUGUAUUAGCACCAACUAAAAAAGUUGGGAGCAGUCAGAUGUUCUGGGAUAGUAAACCGGUUCCCUGAUAAAGAAUUAGUAAUGUGCCUUCCCCUUUCCCUAUUUCCUUGACCCCCUGGAUUUCAGUAAUCCUUACACUGGGCCCAGAAUGCUGUUUCCUUCUGACUCAGUGGUUCACUUCUGAGUGUGUUUACUUCAUGUGAACUUUCACUUCACUCUGAUGUGAGACAUACAAGUUUCUUGACCAUUAUAAUAUGCAUGAAAAGCUGUGACCUAUCUUUAUACCCUUUUUAAAUGGAACUCCACUCUUUUUGAGUCAACUGCACAUUGGAGCCUAUACUAUAGUGAACCCUACCUCAAACAUCACAUUAGUAGGACAUGUCUUGGAAUUGCCAUGUCAAUAGUUACAAUACCAGCAGGGCUAAAGAUUUGCUACAAACACUGUCAUAUCUGCAUGCUGACCCCAAGUUUUUUGGUUAGACAUCAGGUUAUCCUCUAUCUUCAAUAUAUGCUAUUUUUCAUUUGCAUUAUUUAUGAAUUAACAAUAUUUUUUAUUUGUACCUCUCUACCUCAGCUUGAAAAGACAGUGUUCUCUUUUUUCCAGUAACCAGUCCAGUAUUAAUUUUUAAAGGCUGACAUUACAAUAUUAUCCAAAAGGCAAACCCCACUGCUGCAUCCUUUGCCUUUGUUUUCCUGUUCUCUCUUAGUUUGUUCUGUUGAUCCAUCAGAGUUGGUCACCAUCAUCAAACCAGUGAAGUUUCCUGUGAUUAUAAAAAAAUGUUGUUUGGCAGGUGUAGUAAUUAAAUAAAGUAAUAAAUUACUUUGCUUGAUGUGGCAAAAACAAGGUCCCCAAACCUAUUAUGACAAAGUUACACUUUCUUUGAUACUACAGUUUUGAUGCUCAUUUGAUUUGAGAUUUUAGACUGGUAGACAGACAUACUAUAUCGAGCCAGAAGGGAAAUUAAGAUCGGAUAAAAAAAAACAUACAACUACCUAACAAUUUUGUCUCUUAUUUCCUUCAUGUUUCAAAAGGGACCUUAUUAGUUUUACAAGUAAGAUAACUUUAUAAUGUGAAUGUGAGGGAAUAAUUUGAAGUAUAGUUCAGUAUAAAGGGUGUGUACACGGGUUCUUUUUUGUUUUUGUUUUAAGGGUUAAGGAUGUAAUACACAUUUAUUUGCUCUUUUGAAGUUUCACCUUUCACUGUAGGCCCUAACUAUGGUUUUUUAAACUGUGAAUGUAUGUCAAAGAAAAAUAAAGAGUUGAAAAACAUUUCUGUGUGAUCAGGGGCAGAUUUAGUGAAUUGGGGGCCCCA
Molecule: long non-coding RNA, 2783 nt
Filed under: Sinocyclocheilus anshuiensis
Lineage: Eukaryota; Metazoa; Chordata; Actinopteri; Cypriniformes; Cyprinidae
Description: lncRNA (ENSSANG00000006216.1)
Source: RNAcentral